AGUACAAUACACAUUUAUAUCUGAAACGGAAAGGAUAAUUUCCUGAAUCUAACAAAAUCUCAUAUGGAAUUCACGCUUCUGGAAAAUCAUUAGAGCAAAAAUUAACAGUAAAAAAUUAUUCGUACAAAUAAUGCACAAGAAAACAUUCCUCAUUUUAAUGUGGCCGCCAACUUAGAUUUCUGCUUUCCAACUUCUACAUGUUUGUGAAGGCGUCCUGGCCUAGAAAUCCUGUGAAUACGAGACCUAGGUCCAUCAAACAUCCAGCUAUCUUCGUCUAGGGAUUUAACCUCUUUGUUCAGUGAAGCCAUCAGAUCAGAUUUGAGAACUUGAAGAGCCUCAUCUUUGCGGUCUUGAACGGAGAUGAGAUCAACUGGAAAAUUGAAGUCAUCAACAGCUGUAGACGAUGGCGGCCCGACAUUUCCUCCGAUCAUCGCCAUUGUCGAACUCGAUGACCUCGCCGGUGACGACGUCAGCGAACUUCCAGUGCUCAUUUUCCCUCCUUUCGCCUGAAAAUUCAGAUUUGUGAGUCCCCA
Molecule: unclassified non-coding RNA, 533 nt
Filed under: Hevea brasiliensis (rubber tree)
Lineage: Eukaryota; Viridiplantae; Streptophyta; Magnoliopsida; Malpighiales; Euphorbiaceae
Source: RNAcentral